GUGGGAAAAAAAAAAACCAACUGAGUAUCUUGGCUGCUGAGCGGCCCUGUAGAAAAACAAGAAGAACAAGCAAAAAAACCAAGCUGCACUCAGCAAAUCCUGCGAUCCAGGGGAAUCGUACAUUUACCUUAUCUUAGCCAUCUCCCUGUGAUUUUAUUACAUAGUAAUUAUACCAUUAUUCAUAUCAUGCUACAAAUGCAUCAGUGCAAGCAAAUUCAAGACUGUAACUUCUAACGUGUGCUGCAAACUGCACAGCAGUUAUGCGACUGCUGACUGAGACCUUAGCUCCUUACACAGCUCCAAGGAGAUACAGUGAGAAAAGAACUGCUACUUUUUGCUUGGCUCCUGGCGUGAAGGGGACAAGACUGCCAGUAAAAGGUAAGGUGUAUUCCACAGAUUCCAGUUCAAGCACAGAACUGGGCAGUCUUUCAGCAAACGUGACUCUGGGACAAGACAAACUGCAACAAGCCCCUCUCGUGCGUUCUUUCAGGUCUGCUCCACUGAGGACCCGAUGGCAGCCCUCCCACAACGCUUCUAGGAAGCCUUCACGCACUUCCUUCUUUGCUUUCCCCACGCCAGCCACGAGCUAGCUCUGCCAGGACACCCUGAGCCCACAUUUACCACAGCUAUUCUGUUGUGUCACAGCCAUUUGCUGAAAAAGGGGAUGACGGGGUCACAGAAUCACAGAAUGCCAGGGAUUGGAAGGAACCUCGAAAGAUCAUCUAGUCCAGUCCCCCUGCUGGAGCAGGAACACCUAAACUAAGUCACCCAGGAAUGUGUCCAGGCAGGUUUUGAAUGUCUCCAGAGAAGGAGACCCCACGACCUCUCUGGGCAGCCUGUUCCAGUGUUCUGUCACCCUCACCGUGAAGAAGGGUCACCGCAGCCACUGCUGGGACAAUGACAAAUCUGUAAAGUUGCACUGGCAUAGCUCCUGGGAAGUCAGAGUGGGGAAGGGGAAGUGGGGCUGGGCUAAACGUUUGAUUCUGCUAUCUGUUGCUGUCAUAUGAGAAAUGCUGUCAUAAGAAAUUGCAAAAAUAGAGGUCAAGGCAGGAGGAGAUGCAAGAAACGUUGUACUCCUUUCCAAAUCUCUGCAUUGUUCCAUGUAUACCUAAGGCUGAAAAACUGAACUUUGUCAUUUACACAGUAUGCUAACAUUUAAAGUAUGUAAAUAUAUAUGCAGAUUUCUUCAUUUUGGCAUAUGAAAUAUCAGGUGAUAAGACAGACAAAUUGACUCAAAAUCAUUUGAGAAUCAAGGUACAUUUAUAAUAACUAUACUUUCUUUAGUCAGGUGUUCUGCUUGGAACGUAUGUAUCUGAACUGUUUCUGUGCAUCAGAAUACUUCAUGUAAAAGUCAUUUACAGUUUCAGCAGGAACUGAAAUUUAAACAUAAAUUUAUUCUUCACCUUUUUGUGCCUGUUAAAUCCAAAGCGUUUGGCAAUUACAGAGCCUAUAAAAUACAAUGAAUUUGAAGGUGAAUCCUCCAAUUAGUCUUAAAUAGUUGUAAUUCCAUUUGAAGUCAUAUAAGUCUAACUUGAGCAAAAAUUUUGCUAUACUCGUAUAUGCACUGACUUUUUGAACCACAAAUGAGACAUAAUUACCAUAGGAUCGUUGUUGAUAUAUUACCUGCCAUCUGGAGAGACACAAAAUAUUCGUUCUGAUGUGCAAAUGUGUUUGUGCCUUUACCAGCUAUUACUUUUCAUUUAAAAACAUCAUAAAAUACUACAGUGGAUUUAUCUGUUGCUGGUGAAAGAAAAGGAGAUAACUGAUGAAAAUAGUGAGACAAUAUAAACUUCCACGGUAGACUAUUCACUAUUCACAGAAAAGAUCGGUUCCUUCUAAUAGAGUAUAUUAAUUUUCCUAAAAGCACACUUCACAAUAAACUAUAGAAACUUUGUAGCAGUGGUAAUUAAUUUUAAUCUGGAAUGUCGAAGUUGUAAAACAGACUACUGGGAAAAAGACUUCAUUGCAACUCUUGCUGAAGAUGGUAUUUUGUGUGGAAUAGCCCCUGAGCAUCAUUGGUUAUGAUACUCUGAGGUACUGCUCUUUGAAUAUUUUAGGGAAAAGUGUGUCUCAGGUCCAUCUUCCAUUUUUUUUGAGAAUGACUUUUGCUUAGAAGCAAAGUUGUAGAAGUUUACUCUUAGCACUGAAAUUGAGUAGAACUUAAGAACUUGCUAACAAUCAGUAAUAGCAGAAGAAAAUGAGAGUAGUGGUACCCGAUGAAGAUAUUACUUCCUCUUCUUACAAACUACAAUGGACAGAGAUAAUAACCAUUCUAAAGAUUACAUUGGUAAUUGUUUAGAUUAAAUAUUAUGUUGAGACUUUUUUCCUCCAUCCUUUGUAUGAAUUACAAGAAUGAUAGUGGAAUAUCAUGUAGAAUAAAAUGAAGAGUAAGUAUACAUAAUUAAGAAUUCUGAUCAUAUGAGGAACUAAUGUACAGUAUGAACUUGCACUACUUAGAAGAGCAUUAGUUGUUUAGAAUAAUUAAAUGGAUUAAAAAUAGAUGUACAAAAUCUCACAUUCUUUUCUCGUAUUUAACAAUAUGGUAUGUUUUCAGAAUUAAAUCAAGAUGUUUGUUUGCAUAGUAAUACUUUUGCCAUUUAUCAACACAAUUAGAAAUGCCAAUACAUUAGACUGCAGUUUUUUCUCCUGAAGCCUCAGGAGGAUCAGUGGUGCCCCAUAAGUUUCUGCUUCUCUCUAAGAGGAGCCUAAGGCUACUAGCUCAAAUUGACAAAUCUCACCUCUUCAGCAGUCAGAUACCUUCAGUGUAAGGGGAUGGCUAAAUGGAGGUUUUCAGCUAGUCAUUUUGAUCUAAGUUUAAAACUGACUGCACAGUAAGACUGGGACUGAACAAAGAUCCAGAUGUUAAGCAGAGGAUGCAUUUCAGUCUGCUUAAGUGGAAUAAGAUGGACUUGCAGGAGCAGGUAGAAGGAGGAAGUGUCAAAUUUAGGGACAGUAAGCAUAACAGUCUUGCACAUAGUCUCAGCAAUAAAAAGAAAGCAGCGCAUAGCAAUUACUGACUUAGUGAUCCUUUUCUUAUUAAUUAUUUCUUAAAGGUUCGGAACAUAAUUGAGAACUGUGUCAUAAUGCGCUCUGAGCCUGAGUCAAAACUGUGGUCCGUGGAGUGGGCACAUGUGAAUCAUCAAAGAAGGGGUUCAAGACACAGCUCUCAGCAGGUACCUAAGGAUGGCUGGCCUUCAUCCCAAGGCUUUCAGAUCUCAGAUUUCCUGACAAACUGUCCUAAUCUUACUUGGCUCAUGAAUCCACACACACACCUUUAAAAAGAAAGUAAGCAGAGGCCACAGCCCUUCCUUUAUUCAUCAUUUUGGGUGAGCCAGACUUAAAGGAUCCAGGCAACAGAUGUGACUGAAGAUGUUCAGCCACCGCUGGAGAUGAGCCACGCCACACUGGUGAAGGGGAGAGGUUAAUCUUCCAAGAACAGAGGAUGAGUGCCCAUAGCACAGCCGCCUUUACAGCUCAAGUCUGUCUUUUGGAUUGUCUGAGAAUCCUUGUUUGAGUGAAACACCAGAAUUUGGUGCCCUAAAUGUCUUUUUUUUUUUCUUUUUUUUUUCUGAGCAAAUAGUGGAACAAUAGCAGAGUGAAAGAUUUAACAGAAACCUUUGGUGCUGAGCUGUAUAAGCUGGAAAUACUGCAUAUCCCAAUUAAAUACAAGCAGGCUGUUUGAACUGCUCUGUUUCAGUAAGCAAGCAGUGUAUCACAGCAACACCUGAGGGUGCUGCUUUGAUCACAGCCUGUCAGCAAUUCCACCGAGCACUUUGUUUAUUAGAGGUUGGCUGAAGAAGAUCCCUAUAUGCUGAAAUUUAAGUGCAAACAGUGACAGUCAGCAGUAAAGGGAAUCAGGGUAAUAGCAUCUCACAGAGUAGUACUCCUCUGUGGUAUUUUUGUUUUAAAAUCUGAGGGUUUUUUCAUUCCCAAAAACAAAAGUUUAUAUAUCAUCUCAAAAGUGCAUUAAUCCUUACUGCGUACUGAAGAAGAAAAUCAAACAUCUGAAUUAUUAAGAGAGGUGCUUGAAUGGCUGAAAAACUACUCAUCAAAUUUUCAUCCAUUCAUUUUGUACAGUUUUCAGGACACAAACGAAGCAUUCCUCAUCCUGUCUUCCUACUGGACUCUAAGAUGGUUAAACCACAUCUAGCUGGCACAGCAGACCGGGUGGGGGAGAGAAGAGAAAGGAAGUGUCACAUCCUCUGCUGUGAAUAGCUAACACGCUAGCAGCCACGCUGUGAUGAAUGCUUAAAUCCUUCCUCUGCCUGCUUUGGAGCAGGGGCCUGGGAUUGGGCCCUUCUGCUGUGUGCCUUAAUCAGUGGGUCUCACUGCCCGGGUCUCUCUCAGGCUUCCCUGCUGAAACUGCUCUGCUUUGUACAAACUAAUUAAAUAUUCAGAGGAUUGGAGUGAAAAGGGAUCUGUGGCUUGGGGUGGGGGUGCUCAUCCAGAAGGCCUGCUUCUAGUCUCUGCUGCCAUGAAUAUUUAAUUGCUUUGUACAGAGGGGAAGAGUUUCAAAAGGAAUCCCUGAAAUUUCUGGCUCGGCAGCUUUGGUAUUUAACAGAGGAGAGCGAGCCUUGGGUUGGAGCCCCUUUUCGGUAUUAGGCAGCAGAUGGUAUUCAGAAGUAAAACCCCAAGAAAUGCUUUGAACCACUUUGCUCUCCUUGACAUAAUUUCAGAGCCCAUGUGUGAGAUGUGGCAUUCACUGGUAGGUACCAUUUGUAGUUACUCAGCUGAGUGGAAGGAGGCCUGUCUGCCCACCCAAAUUAGCUCUGCAGCACAUCUCCUAUAGACCUGUGCAGCCAGUGCCAGGCUUUCCUUGCUGGUACCGCAGCACUGCAACUCCCUCCAGGCACCACAUGAGGAGAGCAAGGUACUCACCCAGCUGUGCAAUGCAUAAGGGACAGAGGGGAGAUAAAAUUUCAGCACUGCAAUGUCUCUACAGCUAAGUGCCUCUGAGACUUUUUGCUUUGGGGCUGUCAUUUAGUAAUGUAGUUUUGCACCUACCUGACAAGACUUUAGCUGUUGCCUUCGGCAGCAGCGAGGUUGUUUGCUUGCUUCUGGUAAUGCACAGCCUGCAAAGCGCACAGGGUCUGAGUGGGUCCCCUCAGGUCAGCAUGGGAACACAGUGCUGGUCAGCUUGCAUUGCAAUAUUCUUGGUACUGUAUUUCUCUUUAAGAGCACUAAGGAUUCUUUGUCACUGCGAUAUGUGUAUAAAAUGGAGAAAAAAAAAUCUGCUUGUAGGUGUUUGGCCUGUUGUGCUGGGAUUGCAACAACCUUCCCUAUAUAUUUUUAUAACUGCAUAGGAAAGGUAACCAUGUAUCAUAGAAUCAUAGAAUGGUUUGAGUCAGAAGGAACCCCUAAGAUCAUCUAGUUCGAACCCCCCUGCUACAGGCAGGAACACCUC
Numida meleagris (helmeted guineafowl) is the source of this 5404-nucleotide long non-coding RNA. RefSeq lists it as uncharacterized. The record is from RefSeq and is a predicted model, not a curated record. The transcript is spliced from 5 exons. Lineage: Eukaryota; Metazoa; Chordata; Aves; Galliformes; Numididae.